CUGUUCCUUGUCUCCGAUUAAACUCCUUACGUAUUGCGGCGUAGCGUUUGAAUAAGAGAUGUUAGUGUAGAAAUCGGGGGCCCUAAAUCAGUUUUUUAUUGUCCAUCCCAUUGGACCUUGGUCGGACGACCUAUACAGUGACGGAGGGAGUACCAUGUGAUCAGUCUGCGUGGUAGCGGAGUUUUUGGGCUUGAGCCGUCCGUCGAAGAACACUUCCAGGUCAGUCGAACACGUUUUUUUGCUUAAGCCCUCGGAGAAGAUUUCCAGAACCAGUCGAACACGUUUUUGGGCUUAAGACAUCGGAGACCAUUUCCAGACCAGUCGAACACGAUAAGUCGCAAAAGCGAUACGUGGCGGCGUCUUCUUGAGAAGACGAAACAGUUUCUUCUUUCGGCCCUAAAAGGAUACGU
RNAcentral lists this ribosomal RNA (410 nucleotides) under Triticum aestivum (bread wheat). Its description in RNAcentral is "partial small subunit ribosomal RNA". The record is from RNAcentral. Lineage: Eukaryota; Viridiplantae; Streptophyta; Magnoliopsida; Poales; Poaceae.